CGGGACACGUGGUAUCCUGUCUGAAUAUGGGGGGACCAUCCUCCAAGGCUAAAUACUCCUGACUGACCGAUAGUGAACCAGUACCGUGAGGGAAAGGCGAAAAGAACCCCGGCGAGGGGAGUGAAAAAGAACCUGAAACCGUGUACGUACAAGCAGUGGGAGCACGCUUAGGCGUGUGACUGCGUACCUUUUGUAUAAUGGGUCAGCGACUUAUAUUCUGUAGCAAGGUUAACCGAAUAGGGGAGCCGAAGGGAAACCGAGUCUUAACUGGGCGUUAAGUUGCAGGGUAUAGACCCGAAACCCGGUGAUCUAGCCAUGGGCAGGUUGAAGGUUGGGUAACACUAACUGGAGGACCGAACCGACUAAUGUUGAAAAAUUAGCGGAUGACUUGUGGCUGGGGGUGAAAGGCCAAUCAAACCGGGAGAUAGCUGGUUCUCCCCGAAAGCUAUUUAGGUAGCGCCUCGUGAAUUCAUCUCCGGGGGUAGAGCACUGUUUCGGCAAGGGG
This 505-nucleotide ribosomal RNA is filed under the name Escherichia coli. RNAcentral's name for it is "partial 23S ribosomal RNA". It matches the Rfam family "Bacterial large subunit ribosomal RNA", at positions 418 to 925 of the family's 2925-position model. Lineage: Bacteria; Pseudomonadati; Pseudomonadota; Gammaproteobacteria; Enterobacterales; Enterobacteriaceae. The record is from RNAcentral.